AGGUAAUACCGGUCUCCCCUCGUGCGCUUAUAAAUCCUCCUACCGAGGCAUCCAUUUCCGUUCCUCCCUCCCCACGCCAGUUCCCUAUUUCCAAAUUCCCCUUCACAGAAAACCCAACCCAGGUAAUUUUUUCACUGUAAAGUGCAAGCUAGAGAGGGCCGCCUCAUUCUUUGGAUUAUCACCUCAAGAGUCGCUGUCGUAAUCAGUUGCAAGGGGAUUUAAGAAGAUAAGUUUCAUCUUCUUUUAUACAUUGUCAAAUCAGUUACUGUUGCUGUUUGCUAUUAUACCUUGUGUUGUUGGGUUAGAUUCGAUUGUUGUUGUUGUUUGCAAGUUCUUGGCAUUCGUUUCGCCUAUCAGAGGAUGAGUUUUCAAGUCCGAAACGGUCGAAGGGACACGGCUAGAUUUCAUACCCCAAGUUCCCGUCGUCAAGAGUGGGUUCCAAGGGGAUCUACGGCGACUGUUGUGAGCCCGCCAGCAAGCGUCAAUUCAAACCAAAAUGGAGGUGGUGGGGAUUCAAAUUGUAGCUCUGCUCUGCCGGAUGGUCAGCAUAGAGGGAAUUCUUCCCAGAAAGGGCAUAUGGGCAAGCAGUCUAAUCCCGGAGGCAGAAGGGAGAGGGAAAAGCAGGAUGGAAAAGGAUUUAAACACUCAAACAUACCUCAACUUGUGCAAGAGAUUCAAGAGAAGCUCAUGAAGGGGACUGUUGAGUGUAUGAUUUGUUAUGACAUGGUAAGAAGAUCUGCAGCCAUUUGGUCUUGCUCAAGCUGUUACUCAAUUUUUCAUCUCAUUUGUAUCAAGAAAUGGGCCCGGGCUCCCACUUCUGUUGAUUUAUCUGCGGAGAAGAACCAGGGUUUUAAUUGGCGAUGCCCCGGCUGUCAAGCAGUUCAGUUAACUCCAUUGAAGGAGAUUCAGUAUGUUUGCUUUUGUGGGAAAAGGCCGGAUCCACCUUCAGAUUUAUACCUGACUCCACAUUCUUGUGGAGAACCGUGUGGCAAGCAACUUGAGAAGGAGGUUCCAGGGUCUGGUGUUAGUAAAGAGGAUCUUUGUCCCCAUAUUUGUGUUUUGCAAUGCCAUCCAGGUCCAUGUCCUCCUUGCAAGGCAUUUGCCCCACCACGCUUGUGCCCUUGUGGGAAGAAAAGAAUUACAACACGGUGCUCAGAUCGAAAAUCUGUUCUUACUUGUGGCCAGCGUUGCAAUAAACUCCUAGAUUGUUGGCGUCAUCAGUGUGACCAAGUUUGCCAUUUGGGACCUUGUGAUCCUUGUGAUGUUAUGGUAGAUGCCUUUUGUUUCUGUAAGAAAAAGGUGGAGGUUGUCCGUUGUGGUGCCAUGGCAGUUAAGGGGGAAGUGAAAAUAGAAGAUGGUGUCUUUUCUUGUAGCUCAAUUUGUGGAAAGAAGCUUAGCUGUGGAAAUCACUUCUGCGGUGAAAUUUGCCAUCCAGGCUUGUGUGGAGAGUGUGACCUUAUGCCAAGUAAGACCAAGACCUGUUAUUGUGGGAAGACAAGUUUGCUUGAGGAAAGGCAGAGUUGUCUAGACCCAAUUCCAACUUGUUCACAGAUAUGUGGAAAGCGACUUCCUUGCGGAAAGCAUCAAUGUAAAGAGUUAUGCCAUGCUGGUGAUUGUGCACCAUGUUUGAUCCUUACUUCCCAAAAAUGCCGUUGUGGAUCAACUUCUCGAACUGUAGAAUGCUACAAAACAAUGGUGGAUGAAGAGAAAUUUACUUGUGAGAAACCUUGUGGGCGGAAGAAGAAUUGUGGAAGACACCGCUGUAGUGAGAGGUGCUGUCCACUUUCUAAUUCCAACAAUUCUUUCUCUGGUGAUUGGGAUCCACACAUCUGUUCAAUGUCAUGUGGGAAGAAGCUGAGGUGCGGGCAACAUUCUUGUGAAUCACUUUGUCAUAGUGGCCAUUGCCCACCUUGCCUCGAAACCAUAUUUACAGAUUUGAUGUGUGCUUGUGGGAGAACAUCUAUCCCUCCACCAUUGCCUUGUGGUACACCCCACCCUUCAUGUCAGUACCCCUGUUCGGUUCCCCAACCUUGUGGCCAUACAUCUUCCCACAGCUGCCACUUUGGAGAUUGCCCACCUUGUUCGAUUCCUGUUGCAAAGGAGUGCAUUGGUGGACAUGUAGUUCUCAGAAAUAUUCCUUGUGGGUCAAGGGAUAUUAGAUGUAACAAGAUCUGUGGCAAGACUAGGCAAUGUGGUAUGCAUGCCUGUCUGAGAACUUGUCACCCACCACCUUGUGAUUCCUCAUGCGAAUCUGGUUCUGGACUGAAGGCUCCUUGUGGGCAGACGUGUGGUGCUCCGAGGAGAGAUUGCAGGCAUACUUGCAGUGUCUCUUGUCACCCUUCAUCCCCUUGUCCAGAUAAGAGGUGUGAUUUCCCUGUGACAAUCACUUGUUCUUGUAGCCGGAUUACUGCAACUGUUCCCUGUGAUGCUGGCGGUGUCAGUGGUGGGUUUAAUACUGAUACUGUCUUCGAAGCUUCCAUAGUUCAAAAGCUGCCAGUACCACUUCAGCCUGUGGAAGCGAAUGGCAAGAAAAUUCCACUUGGACAGAGGAAGCUUAUGUGUGAUGAGGAAUGUACAAAAUUGGAGCGGAGGCGGGUUCUUGCUGAUGCUUUUGAUAUCACUCCCCCAAAUUUGGAUGCUCUUCAUUUUGGUGAGAAUUUUGCUGUGUCUGAAUUGCUUUUGGACUUGUUUCGGCGUGAUUCAAAGUGGGUGCUAUCUGUGGAGGAGAGGUGCAAGUUUUUGGUCCUAGGCAAGAGCCGAGGGUCUAACACUGGUCUCAGGGUUCAUGUUUUCUGUCCAAUGCUGAAGGAAAAGAGAGAUGCGGUAAGGCUAAUAGCUGAGAGGUGGAAGCUUUCAGUUAAUGCUGCUGGCUGGGAACCGAAGCGAUUUAUUGUGGUUCAUGUUACACCCAAAUCUAAAGCUCCAUCUCGUGUGCUCGGAACCAAAGGUUCCACCCCAAUUAAUGUAUCACAUCCACCAGUUUUUGAUCAUUUUGUUGACAUGGAUCCUAGGCUUGUUGUUGCCCUACUAGAUUUGCCUAGGGAUGCUGAUAUAAGUGCAUUGGUCCUUAGGUUUGGGGGAGAAUGUGAACUGGUCUGGCUCAAUGAUAAGAACGCAUUGGCUGUAUUCAGUGAUCCAGCCCGAGCAGCUACUGCUAUGAGAAGGUUAGAUCAUGGUUCAGUGUAUCAUGGGGCUGUGAUGCUUCAAAAUGGUGGUGCAUCAACUGCACCCUCUGUUGCUAGUGCAUGGGGAGGUCCAGGAAUGCUCAAGGAGGGAGGAGCACUUACUGCGUUGAAGGGUGAUGCAUGGAAGAAAGCUGUUGUGCGGGAUCCUGGUUGGAAGGAAAGUUCAUGGGGUGGCGAAGAGUGGUCUAGUGGGCCUGCAGAUAUGCAGGUGUGGAAAGGGAAAGAAGCUGCAAUUGCUGUUUCAGUGAACCGAUGGAAUGUUUUGGACUCUGAAGUGACUUUGACCUCAUCUGCUUCAUCUGUCAGAAAUGAGGAUCCUGGAAAACAAAUGAGGGGUCUUUCCAUUUCAGAGGCAGAAGCAAAUGCCAGUUGUUCCAAUUCUGCAUUGCAGCAUGAAGGAAAUUCUGGUGAAGGGGAGGUGGCUGAAGUUGUAGAUGACUGGGAGAAGGCAUAUGAAUGAGCAAUGAGAUAUGUAAUUGGGGAAAUUAUCCUAAUCAUGGGAAAGCCAACCGCUAGCAUUCCGUGACCAAUGGCCAUGCUAGCAUUGCUUUGGGUUUUGUUCAAGAGGCUUUCUGAUGUAGGAAUGCGGACACAUCAAGCAUAUGCUUGCAGAAUAGAAAAUUGCUACGUGCGGUGUUGACUAUUUAGCAUUAGAGGGUGCUAGGUUGUGCCAAUAUGUAUUCUUUUGGUUCUCUACAUGGAUGCAUAAGAUUGAGUACCCCAAAUUGCAGCAGGAAAACACAUGCAUUAUUUCCGUGUUUACUUGGAUAAUUAUUUACGUCUAAUUUCUAGAGUUGUAUGCAAAUUAGUAUUGAGUUAUAAUCAUUGAUAUAAAAUAGUAACGUGAUUAAGUUGCAAGGAUAGGGAACUGCAGCAUAGUGAGAGUUAAUUUCUAGAAUGGCAAAUAAUAUCUUUUAACUUGAUUUGCUGUACUGUGAAUGAUGAAGCAACUCAAAACUGCAAGUUCUGUAACCACCACCCCCACCCACCAGCCCCCACUGCUUGGGGUGGGUUGCCCUCCCUACACAUGCUUUUGAAGGCUUAGAGGAAGGCAUGCUGUGUGUGUAGAGAGAGAGAGAGACUUUGUUUAAACAUGUUUGCUCACAAUCGAUAUUCUUCAGCUUUUGCCUACUGCUGAUUGUUUUUUCGGAACAUUUUAUCUUGGUUUAGUUCUGUGUUUUGCAAAUAAUGUGUAUAUGAACAUGUAUGUAUGUUUUAUAUUGUUCUCCCAAUUUUGUUUCAGGAUGGCUAAUGGCAAGUUGGAAGAGUUCUGAUCUGAAAACAGUUGGUUAUCUUAGAUGAUAUGUGAUUCAUAAAUAUUUUGGAACAUCCAUCUACCUCCUCUCUAUGCCAAUUUGUGUUUUAAAUGGUUUGGGUCAGUGGGACGGGUGUUGUUUUGUUUUCUUUUCUUUUGAAUAUAUUUUGGUUUCUGUAAGAAAAAUAUGGUUCCCUUUUGGAGAAUUCUCAGGAGUGCAGCAGUUGCCAGAAAUGAAGCUGCAUUUUGUUCAAUUGCAGCAGUAUGUAAAACAAGCCGGCUUUCCUACUAAAACUUGGAAGACAAAUAGAAAAAAUUUGGAGGGCUACAGGAAAGCUGUGUCCAAAUGAAAGUUUGGAGAGAUCUUGAAUUUGGAUCUAUUGAAUUUGAAUAAAAUAUAAUAUAAAAUUAUUUUCAAA
Malania oleifera is the source of this 4859-nucleotide RNA transcript. It is a transcript of the gene named NF-X1-type zinc finger protein NFXL1, with no coding region annotated. The transcript has 4 exons. The record is from RefSeq and is a predicted model, not a curated record. Lineage: Eukaryota; Viridiplantae; Streptophyta; Magnoliopsida; Santalales; Ximeniaceae.